GGUUAAGUGACUAAGCGUACACGGUGGAUGCCUUGGCAGUCAGAGGCGAUGAAAGACGUAGUAACUUGCGAUAAGCCCAGAUUAGGUAGUAACAACCAUUUGAGUCUGGGAUUUCUGAAUGGGGAAACCCACGUGCAUAAGCACGUAUCCUUACCUGAAUACAUAGGGUAAGGAGGCGAACCGGGGGAACUGAAACAUCUAAGUACCCCGAGGAAAAGAAAUCAACCGAGAUUCCGAAAGUAGCGGCGAGCGAAAUUGGACUAGCCCUUAAGCUUUACACGCGUUAGACGAACGGUCUGGAAAGUCCGACGAUACAGGGUGAUAGUCCCGUAGUUGACGACGUGUGUUCAGUGAAAUCGAGUAGGGCGGGACACGUGAUAUCCUGUCUGAAUAUGGGGGGACCAUCCUCCAAGGCUAAAUACUACUGACUGACCGAUAGUGAACCAGUACCGUGAGGGAAAGGCGAAAAGAACCCCUGUGAGGGGAGUGAAAUAGAACCUGAAACCGUGUACGUACAAGCAGUAGGAGCAGGCUUUGUCCUGUGACUGCGUACCUUUUGUAUAAUGGGUCAGCGACUUAUAUUCAGUGGCAAGGUUAACCAUCUAGGGGAGCCGUAGGGAAACCGAGUCUUAACUGGGCGUUCAGUCUCUGGAUAUAGACCCGAAACCAGGUGAUCUAGCCAUGGGCAGGUUGAAGGUUGAGUAACAUCAACUGGAGGACCGAACCGACUAAUGUUGAAAAAUUAGCGGAUGACUUGUGGCUAGGGGUGAAAGGCCAAUCAAACCUGGAGAUAGCUGGUUCUCCCCGAAAGCUAUUUAGGUAGCGCCUCGGACGAAUACUACUGGGGGUAGAGCACUGUUAAGGCUAGGGGGUCAUCCCGACUUACCAACCCUUUGCAAACUCCGAAUACCAGUAAGUACUAUCCGGGAGACACACGGCGGGUGCUAACGUCCGUCGUGGAGAGGGAAACAACCCAGACCGCCAGCUAAGGUCCCAAAUUACUACUAAGUGGGAAACGAUGUGGGAAGGCUCAGACAGCCAGGAUGUUGGCUUAGAAGCAGCCAUCAUUUAAAGAAAGCGUAAUAGCUCACUGGUCGAGUCGGCCUGCGCGGAAGAUGUAACGGGGCUAAGUAGUAAACCGAAGCUGCGGCAAUACUCUUUGAGUAUUGGGUAGGGGAGCGUUCUGUAAGCGGUUGAAGGUGUGUGGUAACGCAUGCUGGACGUAUCAGAAGUGCGAAUGCUGACAUGAGUAACGAUAAAGGGGGUGAAAAACCUCCUCGCCGGAAGACCAAGGGUUCCUGUCCAACGUUAAUCGGGGCAGGGUAAGUCGACCCCUAAGGCGAGGCCGAAAGGCGUAGUCGAUGGGAAACGGGUUAAUAUUCCCGUACUUCUUACAAUUGCGAUGGGGGGACGGAGAAGGCUAGGUGGGCCUGGCGACGGUUGUCCAGGUUCAAGUGCGUAGGCUUAAGAGUUAGGUAAAUCCGGCUCUUUUUAAGGCUGAGACACGACGUCGAGCACCUACGGGUGUGAAGUCAUUGAUGCCAUGCUUCCAGGAAAAGCCUCUAAGCUUCAGAUUGUAAGGAAUCGUACCCCAAACCGACACAGGUGGUCGGGUAGAGAAUACCAAGGCGCUUGAGAGAACUCGGGUGAAGGAACUAGGCAAAAUGGUACCGUAACUUCGGGAGAAGGUACGCUCUCGACGGUGAAGUCCCUCGCGGAUGGAGCUAU
Molecule: ribosomal RNA, 1728 nt
Filed under: Vibrio parahaemolyticus
Lineage: Bacteria; Pseudomonadati; Pseudomonadota; Gammaproteobacteria; Vibrionales; Vibrionaceae
Description: partial 23S ribosomal RNA
Rfam family: Bacterial large subunit ribosomal RNA
Source: RNAcentral